Molecule: non-coding RNA, 238 nt
Organism: Cinara cedri
Lineage: Eukaryota; Metazoa; Arthropoda; Insecta; Hemiptera; Aphididae
Source: the annotation of a GenBank genome assembly
AUCGUUUCUCGUUUUCGGGGUGACGCGGCUACAAUUUCGUUCGAACAAAAACCAAAAGCUCGAAAUCGUCACGUCCUGAAAAAUCUCGUAUACGUAUUAUGUGAAAAUAUCAGGUCUUUCGCGUGGUUUUUAAACAAAUUGGACGCAAUAAAAAUCGAAAAUAAUGAAAUCGAUAUUGUCGUGUAUUUACUGAGCGAAAUUUCCGACCGAGAAGUCGUACAAUGUAAACAGAAAGACG